Molecule: ribosomal RNA, 253 nt
Filed under: uncultured bacterium
Lineage: Bacteria
Description: partial 16S ribosomal RNA
Rfam family: Bacterial small subunit ribosomal RNA
Source: RNAcentral
UACGUAGGGGGCAAGCGUUAUCCGGAUUUACUGGGUGUAAAGGGAGCGUAGACGGCAGUGCAAGUCUGGAGUGGAAGGCGGGGGCUCAACCCCCGGACUGCUCUGGAAACUGUACGGCUGGAGUGCAGGAGAGGUAAGUGGAAUUCCUAGUGUAGCGGUGAAAUGCGUAGAUAUUAGGAGGAACACCAGUGGCGAAGGCGGCUUACUGGACUGUAACUGACGUUGAGGCUCGAAAGCGUGGGGAGCAAACAGG